Molecule: unclassified non-coding RNA, 366 nt
Filed under: uncultured bacterium
Lineage: Bacteria
Description: contains 16S-23S intergenic spacer region
Source: RNAcentral
UCCUCGUUGACCGAGGCAGUCUCGUGUGAAAAAUACAACACACGACGAGGGUUGCGCUCGUUGCGGGACUUAACCCAACAUCUCACGACACGAGCUGACGACGACCAUGCAGCACCUGUCACCGGUCCAGCAAACUGACUCCCGAGUUUCCUCGGGAUACGACCGGGAUGUCAAGUCCUGGUAAGGUUCUUCGCUUAGCGUCGAAUUAAACCACACGCUCCACCGCUUGUGCGGCCCCCCGUCAAUUCCUUUGAGUUUUAGCCUUGCGGCCGUACUCCCCAGGCGGGGCACUUAACGCGUUAGCUUCGACACCCAACGGAUCUAUGCGUCGGAUGCCUAGUGCCCAUCGUUUACAGCGUGGACUAC